RNAcentral lists this ribosomal RNA (253 nucleotides) under uncultured bacterium. RNAcentral's name for it is "partial 16S ribosomal RNA". It matches the Rfam family "Bacterial small subunit ribosomal RNA", at positions 524 to 776 of the family's 1533-position model. The record is from RNAcentral.
UACGGAGGGUGCAAGCGUUACUCGGAAUUACUGGGCGUAAAGCGCGCGUAGGUGGUGAGUUAAGUCUGUCGUGAAAGCCCCGGGCUCAACCUGGGAAUGGCGAUGGAUACUGGCUCGCUAGAGUGCGGUAGAGGAGAGUGGAAUUCCCGGUGUAGCAGUGAAAUGCGUAGAGAUCGGGAGGAACAUCAGUUGCGAAGGCGGCGCUCUGGACCAGCACUGACACUGAGGCGCGAAAGCGUGGGGAGCAAACAGG